This 207-nucleotide ribosomal RNA is filed under the name uncultured bacterium. RNAcentral's name for it is "partial 16S ribosomal RNA". It matches the Rfam family "Bacterial small subunit ribosomal RNA", at positions 568 to 774 of the family's 1533-position model. The record is from RNAcentral.
CUCGUAGGCGGCUUGUCGCGUCUGCUGUGAAAACCCCGGAGCUCAACUCCGGGCCUGCAGUGGGUACGGGCAGGCUAGAGUGCGGUAGGGGAGAUUGGAAUUCCUGGUGUAGCGGUGGAAUGCGCAGAUAUCAGGAGGAACACCGAUGGCGAAGGCAGAUCUCUGGGCCGCUACUGACGCUGAGGAGCGAAAGCAUGGGAGCGAACA